UACGGAGGAUCCGAGCGUUAUCCGGAUUUAUUGGGUUUAAAGGGAGCGUAGGUGGACAGUUAAGUCAGUUGUGAAAGUUUGCGGCUCAACCGUAAAAUUGCAGUUGAAACUGGAGGCCUUGAGUGCACACAGGGAUGCCGGAAUUCAUGGUGUAGCGGUGAAAUGCUUAGAUAUCACGAAGAACUCCGAUUGCGAAGGCAGCCUGCUAAGCUGCAACUGACAUUGAGGCUCGAAAGUGUGGGUAUCAAACAGG
This 253-nucleotide ribosomal RNA is filed under the name uncultured bacterium. Its description in RNAcentral is "partial 16S ribosomal RNA". It matches the Rfam family "Bacterial small subunit ribosomal RNA", at positions 524 to 776 of the family's 1533-position model. The record is from RNAcentral.